AGAGUUUGAUCAUGGCUCAGGACGAACGCUGGCGGCGUGCUUAACACAUGCAAGUCGAACGAACGCGCGAGGGCUUGCUCUCGAGCGUGAGUGGCGGACGGGUGCGUAACACGUGAGGAACAUACCCAUCGGCGGGGGAUAGCCGGCCCAACGGCCGGGUAAUACCGCGUACGACCUUUUGAGCGCAUGCUCGGGAGGUGAAAGCAGCAAUGCACCGGUGGAGUGCCUCGCGGCCUAUCAGCUUGUUGGUGAGGUAAUGGCUCACCAAGGCGACGACGGGUAGCUGGUCUGAGAGGAUGACCAGCCACAUUGGGACUGAGACACGGCCCAGACUCCUACGGGAGGCAGCAGUGGGGAAUAUUGCGCAAUGGCCGAAAGGCUGACGCAGCGACGCCGCGUGUGGGAUGAAGGUCCUCGGAUUGUAAACCACUGUCAGGAGGGACGAAGGCCCCGCAAGGGGAUUGACGGUACCUCCAAAGGAAGCACCGGCUAACUCCGUGCCAGCAGCCGCGGUAAUACGGAGGGUGCGAGCGUUGUCCGGAAUCACUGGGCGUAAAGGGCGCGUAGGCGGCCCGGUAAGUAGGGGGUGAAAUUCCACGGCUCAACCGUGGACCGGCCUCCUAGACUGUCGGGCUUGAGCACGGUAGAGGCAGAUGGAAUUCCCGGUGUAGCGGUGGAAUGCGUAGAUAUCGGGAAGAACACCAGUGGCGAAGGC
This 715-nucleotide ribosomal RNA is filed under the name uncultured bacterium. Its description in RNAcentral is "bacterial SSU rRNA". It matches the Rfam family "Bacterial small subunit ribosomal RNA", at positions 8 to 722 of the family's 1533-position model. The record is from RNAcentral.